AUCCUAUUAAAACUAUUAAAUUGCAAAAAACCAAUAAGGAAUUACUGGUUAUAGAAUUUAAUAUAGAAAAAAAAUAGGCAUUAUCGUACGAAAACUAACACAAGUUAGUUUGCUGAGUAAGCUAAGGUAUAAGAAAUAACAACAUUAAAGGAACUCUGCAAAUUUUCUUUGUAACUUCGGGAGAAAAAGAACUAAUUAGUUAAAAAAAUAGAGGGUAGCGACUGUUUAACAAAAACAUAAGACUUUGCUAAAUAUAAUUAUGAUGUAUAAAGUCUGACAUCUGCCCGGUGUUGCAAGAUAAAAAAUAUAAACAUGUGUUUAUAUAUAAGUCCCAAUAAACGGCGGCCGUAAUCCUAACGGUCCUAAGGUAGCAAAAUCCCUUGACGGGUAAGUUCCGUCCUGCACGAAUGGUGUAACGACUGCCCUACUGUCUCUAGUGUUGAUUUAUGAAAUUGAAAUAGACGUGAAGAUGCGUUAAUGUACAGCUAGACGGAGAGACCCUAUGCACCUUUACUGUUAUCU
This 522-nucleotide ribosomal RNA is filed under the name uncultured bacterium. RNAcentral describes it as "partial 23S ribosomal RNA". It matches the Rfam family "Bacterial large subunit ribosomal RNA", at positions 1540 to 2112 of the family's 2925-position model. The record is from RNAcentral.